This is a non-coding RNA of Ceratobasidium sp. 370, 91 nucleotides long. The record is from the annotation of a GenBank genome assembly. Lineage: Eukaryota; Fungi; Basidiomycota; Agaricomycetes; Cantharellales; Ceratobasidiaceae.
GGGAUAGAAGCUCAGUGGUUGAGCAAUCGAUUGCAGCUAUAUUGCAUAAUAAAUCAUCGAUAGGUCGCGCGUUCGAAUCGCGUCUGUCCCU